UCNUGGGGGCAAGUCUGGUGCCAGCAGCCGCGGUAAUUCCAGCUCCAAUAGCGUAUAUUAAAGUUGUUGCAGUUAAAAAGCUCGUAGUUGAAUUUCGAGAUCGGCUUACUGGUCGUGCUUUUGUACGUACUGGUAUAAUCGGUUUCUCCUUUCUGACGAACUAUAAUGCCAUUAAUUUGGUGUUAUAGGGAAUCAGGACUGUUACUUUGAAAAAAUAGAGUGUUUAAAGCAGGCUCACGCUUGAAUACAUUAGCAUGGAAUAACGGAAUAGGACGUUUGAUUCUAUUUUGUUGGUUUCUAGGAUCGACGUAACGAUUAAUAGGGAUAGUUGGGGGCAUUAGUAUUCAAUUGUCAGAGGUGAAAUUCUUGGAUUUAUUGAAGACUAACUACUGCGAAAGCAUUUGCCAAGGAUGUUUUCAUUAAUCAAGAACGAAAGUUAGGGGAUCGAAGACGAUCAGAUACCGUCGUAGUCUUAACCAUAAACUAUGCCGACUAGGGAUCGGAUGAU
RNAcentral lists this ribosomal RNA (508 nucleotides) under uncultured Glomus. RNAcentral describes it as "SSU rRNA". It matches the Rfam family "Eukaryotic small subunit ribosomal RNA", at positions 539 to 1061 of the family's 1831-position model. Lineage: Eukaryota; Fungi; Glomeromycota; Glomeromycetes; Glomerales; Glomeraceae. The record is from RNAcentral.